RNAcentral lists this ribosomal RNA (127 nucleotides) under Amblyomma hebraeum (bont tick). Its description in RNAcentral is "partial 12S ribosomal RNA". Lineage: Eukaryota; Metazoa; Arthropoda; Arachnida; Ixodida; Ixodidae. The record is from RNAcentral.
AAGCUAGAANUUUAUUCUAACUCUUAAUAAUUAUUAGUUAUUUAAAAAAAAUAAAUUUUCUAUUAUUUGUUUUUUAAAAAAUGUAUAAAAAAAUUAGAAUUUUUUCUUUAAAAACCAAAUUUAAUUU